This 314-nucleotide ribosomal RNA is filed under the name uncultured bacterium. RNAcentral describes it as "bacterial SSU rRNA". It matches the Rfam family "Bacterial small subunit ribosomal RNA", at positions 30 to 338 of the family's 1533-position model. The record is from RNAcentral.
AUUGAACGCUGGCGGCAGGCCUAACACAUGCAAGUCGAACGGUAACAGGAAGAAGCUUGCUUCUUUGCUGACGAGUGGCGGACGGGUGAGUAAUGUCUGGGAAACUGCCUGAUGGAGGGGGAUAACUACUGGAAACGGUAGCUAAUACCGCAUAACGUCGCAAGACCAAAGAGGGGGACCUUCGGGCCUCUUGCCAUCGGAUGUGCCCAGAUGGGAUUAGCUAGUAGGUGGGGUAACGGCUCACCUAGGCGACGAUCCCUAGCUGGUCUGAGAGGAUGACCAGCCACACUGGAACUGAGACACGGUCCAGACUC